AUUGAACGCUGGCGGCAGGCCUAACACAUGCAAGUCGAGCGGAUGAAGGGAGCUUGCUCCUGGAUUCAGCGGCGGACGGGUGAGUAAUGCCUAGGAAUCUGCCUGGUAGUGGGGGAUAACGUCCGGAAACGGGCGCUAAUACCGCAUACGUCCUGAGGGAGAAAGUGGGGGAUCUUCGGACCUCACGCUAUCAGAUGAGCCUAGGUCGGAUUAGCUAGUUGGUGGGGUAAAGGCCUACCAAGGCGACGAUCCGUAACUGGUCUGAGAGGAUGAUCAGUCACACUGGAACUGAGACACGGUCCAGACUCCUACGGGAGGCCGCAGUGGGGAAUAUUGGACAAUGGGCGAAAGCCUGAUCCAACCAUGCCGCGUGUGUGAAGAAGGUCUUCGGAUUGUAAAGCACUUUAAGUUGGGAGGAAGGGCAGUAAGUUAAUACCUUGCUGUUUUGACGUUACCAACAGAAUAAGCACCGGCUAACUUCGUG
Molecule: ribosomal RNA, 484 nt
Filed under: uncultured bacterium
Lineage: Bacteria
Description: partial 16S ribosomal RNA
Rfam family: Bacterial small subunit ribosomal RNA
Source: RNAcentral